Molecule: ribosomal RNA, 372 nt
Filed under: uncultured organism
Description: partial 16S ribosomal RNA
Rfam family: Bacterial small subunit ribosomal RNA
Source: RNAcentral
GUAGGUGGCAAGCGUUGUCCGGAAUUAUUGGGCGUAAAGCGCGCGCAGGCGGUUCUUUAAGUCUGAUGUGAAAGCCCACGGGCUCAACCGUGAGGGUCAUUGGAAACUGGAGAACUUGAGUACAGAAGAGGAAAGCGGAAUUCCACGUGUAGCGGUGAAAUGCGUAGAGAUGUGGAGGAACACCAGUGGCGAAGGCGGCUUUCUGGUCUGUAACUGACGCUGAGGCGCGAAAGCGUGGGGAGCAAACAGGAUUAGAUACCCUGGUAGUCCACGCCGUAAACGAUGAGUGCUAAGUGUUAGGGGGUUUCCGCCCCUUAGUGCUGCAGCUAACGCAUUAAGCACUCCGCCCGGGGAGUACGGCCGCAAAGGCUG